UGCAGUUGANACUGGCGUCCUUGAGUGCGGUUGAGGUGUGCGGAAUUCGUGGUGUAGCGGUGAAAUGCUUAGAUAUCACGAAGAACUCCGAUUGCGAAGGCAGCACACUAAGCCGUAACUGACGUUCAUGCUCGAAAGUGUGGGUAUCAAACAGGAUUAGAUACCCUGGUAGUCCACACGGUAAACGAUGGAUACUCGCUGUUGGCGAUAUACGGUCAGCGGCUUAGCGAAAGCGUUAAGUAUCCCACCUGGGGAGUACGCCGGCAACGGUGAAACUCAAAGGAAUUGACGGGGGCCCGCACAAGCGGAGGAACAUGUGGUUUAAUUCGAUGAUACGCGAGGAACCUUACCCGGGCUUAAAUUGCAAAGGAAUUGCGUGGAAACAUGCAAGUCUUCGGACCUUUGUGAAGGUGCUGCAUGGUUGUCGUCAGCUCGUGCCGUGAGGUGUCGGCUUAAGUGCCAUAACGAGCGCAACCCUCGCCGCCAGUUACUAACAGGUAAUGCUGAGGACUCUGGCGGGACUGCCAUCGUAAGAUGUGAGGAAGGUGGGGAUGACGUCAAAUCAGCACGGCCCUUACGUCCGGGGCUACACACGUGUUACAAUGGGCGGUACAGAAGGCAGCUACCUGGCGACAGGAUGCCAAUCCCGAAAGCCGCUCUCAGUUCGGACUGGAGUCUGCAACCCGACUCCACGAAGCUGGAUUCGCUAGUAAUCGCGCAUCAGCCACGGCGCGGUGAAUACNNNNNNNGGCCUUGUACACACCGCCCGUCAAGCCAUGAANNNNNNNNNNNCCUGAAGUGCGUAGCCGCAAGGAGCGCCCUAGGGUAAAACCGGUAAUUGGGACUGAGUCGUAACAAGGUAACCA
This 866-nucleotide ribosomal RNA is filed under the name uncultured bacterium. RNAcentral's name for it is "partial 16S ribosomal RNA". It matches the Rfam family "Bacterial small subunit ribosomal RNA", at positions 622 to 1502 of the family's 1533-position model. The record is from RNAcentral.